This 607-nucleotide long non-coding RNA is filed under the name Setaria viridis. RNAcentral describes it as "long non-coding RNA (SVIR_LNC010635)". The record is from RNAcentral. Lineage: Eukaryota; Viridiplantae; Streptophyta; Magnoliopsida; Poales; Poaceae.
GGAAGGUGAGAGUGCAGGGGAGGAGCAGGAGCUGUCAGCCCUUCCUCAACUAUGUACCUUAGAGGAUGAGGCUCAACAUGGAGUAACAUCCGGAUCUUGUAUGGUAACUCUAGUUCCUCUAAUUAAUUAAGCAUCAGUUCUUGCCUACGUUUGUUCAUAGGUUCCUCAUUCACUAUUUAGUAGUUUAUCCUACUUUGAGUGAGUGCCUUAUUUCUGCACUCAAGUAAGGUAGUAAUCCAUAGUGUGGACGUGGUGUGUGGAUUAGAGAUUACCUCGGUUUGCACCCAGUUCAACGGAGUAGCCAGCAGGUGGUGAUAGCCCUGUCCGAACUACAUAGUCCACCACAUUAGUAGGACUUAGGAGUAAACGAUGCCACUCCCCUUCUCAUUCCAUUCCAUGAGUGGUGGUUUCUCGGGCGCCCGAAGUGAACCUACAUGAAUAAGACUAAUCAACUUGAUUAAUCAGAAUAGUCAGUGUUACUACACAAGUACCCUCUCUACCCUCUUGCUUCUUUAUCUCCUCUUUCUUCAUCGUUACCCUUAUGAACCAUCCGGAUGAAGUAGUUUAGGAUUAUAGCACUUCACGUUCCCUGUGGAAAUCGAUACUC